Mya arenaria is the source of this 2461-nucleotide long non-coding RNA. RefSeq lists it as uncharacterized. NCBI's taxonomy places the organism in Eukaryota, Metazoa, Mollusca, Bivalvia, Myida, Myidae. The transcript is spliced from 4 exons. The record is from RefSeq and is a predicted model, not a curated record.
UCGAAUUACCCGCCACAGUUCGUAGCCGUUCGUAGCCAGCUUCGGAAUCGAUCAUUUGCAUAAUACAUGAAUGAAGCGCCCGUAUGUAAACAACCGAUACUGGCGAUAGCGACUUUCAUUCAGCUACCAACAUGGUCAAAAGAAAUGUUUCUACCAGUUACUCUUGAGCCACCUCCAAGCAUUCCCUUAUCCCAAAUUGAUAUUAAAAGAGAAUGUUGAUGAGCCUGAUCCGUCGAUUCAAAUACCAUAACACAGCCAACCCAAAAAAAAGAACAGCAAACAAGUGAGCAAGCUGACAAAGCUGCAACUUCAGGGAGCAAUUAUAAGGGUCAUCAAGAUGGAGCCAGGAUUCAUGAUGCUCGUAUUAGAGGUGCUGGACCAGAGUCUGAGGAAGGGAGUAGAACUCCAAGCUGGUUUGAGUGUGCUUCAACAGCCGGGACAUUUCAUUGCAGAGUUAAAAAGUUUGUUGGUGCCGGGAGGCCAGUCUUUCUCAAACUGCUGACUCUGACCUCCUUGUUUUGAAUGAAGAAGUUCUAACCCUUGCCCAUUUGAUGAGGCAGGAUUUCUUGUGUUCAUUGAUGAGGAGGACCAGGUGCAACCCAACCGCUACUAGGCGACUUAUAUUGUGUUCUGACACAGAGUUAUUUUUGGGCUGGUGACAAGAGGGCUAUUCCCUUAUGUUGUGUGGAGAGCCCAGGAAACCGUCCCGAUUCCCUAAGAACAAUACACUGGCCUUGUGCAAAGGAGGGUUCAGUAGAUGAACACAAUUUUUGCAGACGGAUCGUAUCUGUUCUCUUGAUUUUCUUCAAUAUUAAAAUAUGAUAUAAACAAUAUCAGGUCAUUUUUGUAUACUUUUGUGAAUGACUUGUUAUUUUAUAAAUACUGAUUUGUACUGUCUUUGGUUGCUAAACUGUCAUUAAGAAAUUAUCUCGUUUCAAUUUGAAAGCCAGAAAACCUGCAUGUUAUGUAUACUCAUGUUAUUGUUUAUAUUUAUGCCCCCUCCGAGGAAGAGGGGUUGCAUUGCACAUGUUGGUCGGACGAUUCGCAGCUUUGUUGGUAGACCAAAGCUUGUCUAAGUGAUAACAACUGAAGGACAGAUGGUUAUCAAACUUGACAUGAAUGUUGGGCCUGACCAGUAGAUAACCCUAUUGAUUUAAGGGGUCAUCAGGUCCAAGUUCAAGAUCACAGUGACCUUUAAUGGUAUAAAGUUGUUAAAGCUUGUCCGAGAAAUAACUAAAAAAUACCUGAACGUACGGUAUGGUUAUCAAAUUUGACAUGGAGGCUGGGCCUGAUUAGUAGAUGACCCCUAUUGAUUUUAGGAGUCAUUGGGCCAAUGGUAACAGUCACAGUGACCUUUAAGUUGAAAAGGUUAACAAAGAUUCUCUGAGUGAUAUCACAACAAUGUCUGGCCCUAUGAUCAUCAAACUUGACAUUGAGGCUGGGUAUGACCAUAACUGAUUUAAAUAGUCAUUGGCCCUAAGUGACGAAAGUGCGUUAAGAAUGAACGAGUGAUAAAUCAACAAUGCCUGCACCCAUGGCUCUCAAACAUGAUAAGGGAAUUUGGCUUUACCAGUAGAUGGUUCAUUUUGAUUUCAGGGGUAAUCAGGUCAAAGGUGAAGGUUACAGUGACCUUGAAAGCAUAUUCGUGUGAUUACUUGACAAUGCCUGCACCCAUGGUUCUCAAACUUGCCAUCUAGGUUGGGGGUGACCAGUUGAUGAUCUUAUAGAUCUUGAAGUCAGAGGUCAACCUAUAUGCAUGAUUAAGUAUUUUGUCAUAUUUACUUAUUUCCUGCUCCUGAAAGGAUAUAUUUUUAUCUGCAAAUAUCAGUCAUCAUCUGAACGUGAUUUAGAACUUUACUUACUAUCCUCACACUUUGAACGGUCAUAAUCUUAAAACUGCCGCAAAGGCAUCUAAUGUCAAUGACAAGUCAGCUGUCAUUUCAGUCUGCAUAUUUAAUUCAAUUUGCGGAAUAAGCCUGACAACUUGGCGCUCCUCAAGGGGAGGGGGUUCAUAUGUUUGACAAACAUCUCUUGUUUUUCUGUUUAAAAGCGCUUUCAAAUGACACUCGAGCAAUAUGUCUGUUUGAAUCCAAAUUUCACAUUUUAUCUUUAAAAUGUGUCAUACCUUUCUCAACCUUGUUUAGAAAUAAUAAAAUGGACCUAAAGCAGGCUCAAUUUUGAUACAGCCCAUUUCUUAAGUAGAACAAAGAUUAAUGCAAAAAACCACUUUCCCACAAAGAAGUAAAUAACUGAAAUAAAACCAUGAAGAUCCCACAGUUUGUUGACUUCUUCUUGAUUUAAAAACUCAGAUCUUAUAUAUCCGAUAACUUGUGUAAGCAAAAUAGUAAACAAGAGGGCCAAAUGGCACUGAAUCGCUCACCUGUCAUAUAUUGCACAUUCUUCCAUUAUAUACAAAUAUUAAAAACCUAAGCCAAUGAACACGGGGCGUGGCCAAUUUUGA